GAAAGUAUAGCUCAGUGGUAGAGCGUGGGACUAGCAUGCACAAGAUCCUGGGUUCGGUCCCCAGUACCUCCA
This 72-nucleotide transfer RNA is filed under the name Camelus bactrianus (Bactrian camel). It matches the Rfam family "tRNA". Rfam says of the family: Transfer RNA (tRNA) molecules are approximately 80 nucleotides in length. Their secondary structure includes four short double-helical elements and three loops (D, anti-codon, and T loops). RNAcentral also lists the same sequence under 1 other name. Lineage: Eukaryota; Metazoa; Chordata; Mammalia; Artiodactyla; Camelidae. The record is from Rfam by way of RNAcentral.